CUACGGGACGCUGCAGUGGGGAAUAUUGGACAAUGGGGGAAACCCUGAUCCAGCAAUGCCGCGUGUGUGAAGAAGGCCUGCGGGUUGUAAAGCACUUUCGGUUGGGAGGACUGCUUCUAGCACUAAUAUUGUUGGAAGUUGACGUUACCUUCAGAAGAAGCACCGGCUAGCUCCGUGCCAGCAGCCGCGGUAAUACGGAGGGUGCAAGCGUUAAUCGGAAUUACUGGGCGUAAAGCGCGCGUAGGCGGCUAGAUCAGUCGGGUGUGAAAGCCCCGGGCUUAACCUGGGAACUGCAUCCGAUACUGUCUAGCUUGAGUACAGGAGAGGAGAGUGGAAUUCCACAUGUAGCGGUGAAAUGCGUAGAUAUGUGGAGGAACACCAAUGGCGAAGGCAGCUCUCUGGCCUGAUACUGACGCUGAGGUGCGAAAGCGUGGGGAGUAAACAGGAUUAGAUACCCGCGUAGUC
RNAcentral lists this ribosomal RNA (465 nucleotides) under uncultured bacterium. RNAcentral describes it as "partial 16S ribosomal RNA". It matches the Rfam family "Bacterial small subunit ribosomal RNA", at positions 339 to 795 of the family's 1533-position model. The record is from RNAcentral.